CCUACGGGACGCACCAGUGGGGAAUAUUGCACAAUGGGCGCAAGCCUGAUGCAGCCAUGCCGCGUGUAUGAAGAAGGCCUUCGGGUUGUAAAGUACUUUCAGCGGGGAGGAAGGCGAUAAGGUUAAUAACCUUGCCGAUUGACGUUACCCGCAGAAGAAGCACCGGCUAACUCCGUGCCAGCAGCCGCGGUAAUACGGAGGGUGCAAGCGUUAAUCGGAAUUACUGGGCGUAAAGCGCACGCAGGCGGUCUGUCAAGUCGGAUGUGAAAUCCCCGGGCCCAACCUGGGAACUGCAUUCGAAACUGGCAGGCUAGAGUCUUGUAGAGGGGGUAGAAUUCCAGGUGUAGCGGUGAAAUGCGUAGAGAUCUGGAGGAAUACCGGUGGCGAAGGCGGCCCCCUGGACAAAGACUGACGCUCAGGUGCGAAAGCGUAAGGAGCAAACAGGAUUAGAUACCCCAGU
Molecule: ribosomal RNA, 460 nt
Filed under: uncultured bacterium
Lineage: Bacteria
Description: bacterial SSU rRNA
Rfam family: Bacterial small subunit ribosomal RNA
Source: RNAcentral